GUUCUUAGAGAGCAUCCAAAGGAGGGCAACAAGGAUGGUGGAAGGGAAGGCAUAUGAGGAGCAGCUGACUUCACCUUUUCUAUUCAGCCUGGAGAAGACUUCAACAUCCUCACAAGGGGAAGCAGAGAGAUGUACUCUGCUGAUAAAUUUAAAUGGAAGAAAAUUGAAUUAAUAUUCAGUCUUGGAGAACAACUCAUCAUGCAGGAAGGAAGCAUUCCUUUGUGAAUGGCAUUGUGAAUUACACUGGCUCAUAUCAUCAUUUUCCUCAGAGGCACCCCCCCAAAAAAACCUCAAAACCAAAACCAACCAACCAACCAAAAAACACUAAAAAAACCCAAGCAGACUGGAGGAAAAUCUCCAUGUGGAUGACCUUGCACAUUUUAUAGAUAACAGCCCCUCUGGGGCUGCAGAGUUCAGAGGCAUAUUUCAAACUGUAGGAAUCCUAGAGAGCUUGAAGUUAAAAAAAAAAAAAAGAAAAAAAAAAGAAGAAGGAAAAAGAAGACAACUCUCAUCUACUAUGAGCAUUCAACUGUGAAAUAAUUACUCCACUGACCUUGUUUUACCACUGACAUCCAUGAGAGCAGAGAUUAAUAAAGGUUGAGUGCUUCUGCAAAUCUCACCUUUAGUGUCAGUAAGAAAACCUGCCCAUUCCAAAUUCUUACUUUAGCUGAUACUUUAAGGAAUUACCAUGAAGACCUAUGAUAGCCCCUCCAAGGUUGGAGGGGCACGGAAGGGAGAACAGAAGAGAAAAUAUAAGGAGACAUAAGUUAUCUUUCCUUCCCUGCACCUACGUAAAAAGUUCCUCAGUCAAAAUGUC
Long non-coding RNA from Pipra filicauda (Wire-tailed manakin), 817 nucleotides. RefSeq lists it as uncharacterized. The transcript has 3 exons. The record is from RefSeq and is a predicted model, not a curated record. NCBI's taxonomy places the organism in Eukaryota, Metazoa, Chordata, Aves, Passeriformes, Pipridae.